UCCCCGUUAUCCGGGGCAGUUUCGCUAGAGUGCUCGCCAUUACGCGUUAGCAACUAGAGAUAAGGGUUGCGCUCGUUGCAGGACUUAACCCAACAUCUCACGACACGAGCUGACGACAGCCAUGCAGCACCUUGCACUCCGUCUAGGUUUCCCUAAAAGGCCCCAUCUCUGGGGUUGUCAGAGGCAUUCUAGCCCUGGUAAGGUUCUUCGCGUUGCGUCGAAUUGAACCACAUGCUCCACCGCUUGUGCGGGUCCCCGUCAAUUCCUUUGAGUUUUAACCUUGCGGCCGUAGUCCCCAGGCGGGGUACUUAAUGCGUUAACUGCGGCACUCAGGGGGUCAAUACCCCGAACACCUAGUACCCAUCGUUUACAGCGUGGACUAC
RNAcentral lists this unclassified non-coding RNA (383 nucleotides) under uncultured bacterium. RNAcentral describes it as "contains 16S-23S intergenic spacer region". The record is from RNAcentral.